Molecule: ribosomal RNA, 312 nt
Filed under: Enterococcus faecium
Lineage: Bacteria; Bacillati; Bacillota; Bacilli; Lactobacillales; Enterococcaceae
Description: bacterial LSU rRNA
Rfam family: Bacterial large subunit ribosomal RNA
Source: RNAcentral
CCGACCCGCACGAAAGGCGUAACGAUUUGGGCACUGUCUCAACGAGAGACUCGGUGAAAUUUUAGUACCUGUGAAGAUGCAGGUUACCCGCGACAGGACGGAAAGACCCCAUGGAGCUUUACUGUAGUUUGAUAUUGAGUGUUUGUACCACAUGUACAGGAUAGGUAGGAGCCGAUGAGACCGGAACGCUAGUUUCGAGGAGGCGCUGGUGGGAUACUACCCUUGUGUUAUGAACCUCUAACCCGCACCACUAAUCGUGGUGGGAGACAGUGUCAGAUGGGCAGUUUGACUGGGGCGGUCGCCUCCUAAAAG